UACGGAGGGGGCUAGCGUUGUUCGGAAUUACUGGGCGUAAAGCGCACGUAGGCGGCUUUGUAAGUUAGAGGUGAAAGCCCGGGGCUCAACUCCGGAAUUGCCUUUAAGACUGCACCGCUAGAAUUGUGGAGAGGUAAGUGGAAUUCCGAGUGUAGAGGUGAAAUUCGUAGAUAUCGGGAGGAACACCAGUGGCGAAGGCGGCUCUCUGGGCAGAUACUGACGCUGAGACGCGAAAGCGUGGGUAGCAAACAGG
RNAcentral lists this ribosomal RNA (253 nucleotides) under uncultured bacterium. RNAcentral describes it as "partial 16S ribosomal RNA". It matches the Rfam family "Bacterial small subunit ribosomal RNA", at positions 524 to 776 of the family's 1533-position model. The record is from RNAcentral.